Long non-coding RNA from Columba livia (rock pigeon), 477 nucleotides. RefSeq lists it as uncharacterized. Lineage: Eukaryota; Metazoa; Chordata; Aves; Columbiformes; Columbidae. The transcript is spliced from 2 exons. The record is from RefSeq and is a predicted model, not a curated record.
CGGAGCCUGCGGGUCGGGACGCUGGGGGCAGCUCCUGAAAAAAGCCCCGCACACCGCCUUACGUUCUUCAGCUUGAAGAUGUGCCUCCGCCCCUUGCCCUUCGUGGAAACCUUCUUCUCCGCGGCGGGCGCUGACUUGUACUUGGUGUUCCGCAGCCGCGCAGAGCGCCGGUGGAUCUCCUGCUUACUCUGCGGGGGGAAUGACCGGACCAUCGAAGACCCUACCAAUUUCUUCUGCCUUCCAGGACAGAAUGAAUAUCAAAUCACGGGGAAUGGAGUUGGAUGGCUAAAUUAUAGCCAAGCAGAAAUUGGACUGCUGUGCUCAAUAACACUGUCUGUAUACGCUCCAGGAGGCACAACUGGAUUUUUAAGUGAGUGCUUGCUGCUGAAUUAUAUGUAAAGACAUCAUGGUCAGAAGGAGGGCCUCAAACUCCAGAUGCCUGAACAGAAAAUAAAUACAAUCAAUUUCAAAAUAAGA